RNAcentral lists this ribosomal RNA (337 nucleotides) under uncultured eukaryote. RNAcentral describes it as "partial 18S ribosomal RNA". It matches the Rfam family "Eukaryotic small subunit ribosomal RNA", at positions 1470 to 1796 of the family's 1831-position model. The record is from RNAcentral.
CCCUUCGAUGUUCUGGGCUGCACGCGCGCUACACUGAUAAAGUCAACGAGUUUACAACCUUUGCCGAAAGGCUUGGGUAAUCUUUUGAAACUUUAUCGUGAUGGGAAUAGCUGAUUGCAAUUAUUUGGCUUGAACGAGGAAUGCCUAGUAAGGGCGCUUCAUCAGAGCGUCCUGACUGCGUCCCUGCCCUUUGUACACACCGCCCGUCGCUCCUACCGAUUGAAUGGUCCGAUGAGAUCUCCGGAUUUGAGGUUGUCAUGAUUCUGGUUUUGCCGGGAUCAGCGCCUUGGAAAAGUUGAUCAAAUCUUAUCAUUUAGAGGAAGGAGAAGUCGUAACA